RNAcentral lists this long non-coding RNA (43426 nucleotides) under Eucalyptus grandis. RNAcentral's name for it is "long non-coding RNA (EGRA_LNC001007)". Lineage: Eukaryota; Viridiplantae; Streptophyta; Magnoliopsida; Myrtales; Myrtaceae. The record is from RNAcentral.
UUCCAUCACUUCCUUCUUCCUUUAGCCAGUCAUCGACUUAGUGAAAAACUAAAGCCAAGGUUGGCAAGGUCCCUCACUAACCUCAAGCAUGGAUGGAUGAGGCUCCACCUUGCCAUAAUCGACAAGGCCACCCUCAUGGCCUCAAGCAAGGGCUUGAGCCUUGCUAGGGCUUGGGCGAGGCACAACCUCACCAGACCUAGCAAAGUCAAGCCUUGCCCAGUCGAGUCUUGUCUAAGUCCACCAAGGUUGGCCCUGCCUUUGGUCGGUCAUCGAUCGUUUAGAGAAAGAAGGAAGUGAAGAAAAAAAAAGAAUUUUUUUUUAAAAAGAUAUUACAAUAUUAAAUUUUGUUCAUGUCAAUGUCGAUAGGAUUAUGUAGGAUCAUCGGUGCUCAUGUCAACUUUAGUAAGCCAAAAUUGAACUGAUAGAUUGAAUUGAUACAAAUGCAAGAGGUUGAAUUUUCAGUUGACAAAGAAAAUGUUAAUAAUUAAAUAAGCAUAAUUAUGAUAAAUUUAGGACUUUUUUAUUAUUAUAUAAUUUCUCAUUAAAUUCUCUAUACGGGCUUUUUUUUUUAAUGUAAAAGAGAAGUAGUUGGUAAAGAAAUAAAAAUUGUAUACUCGUCAUCAACUCUAUCCUAUUUAUGUAAUGAUUUUUUGUGCCGUCAAUGUACUAAAUAAGUCAUUUUAAGACUGUGUACACACACACAUAUGUGUGUGUGAAGUAGUUGGUAAAGAAAUAAAAUUUGUAUACUCGUCAUCAACUCUACCCUAUUUAUGUAAUGAUUUUUUGUGCCGUCAAUCUACUAAAUGAGUCAUUUUAAGACUCUGUAUACAUACACAGAGACAUAUACAUAUAUGUGUGUGUGUGUGUGUAUAGUGAUGUGACAGGGCAUGAGCGGACAUAUAAUAAUCUGGGAUAAUUUAAAUGCCACACUUUGUAGUAUAUAAAUUUUGUACAUAAAUGUUAGUAUACAAUGCUUUGUUAGCUUUGUUAAGAACAAGCGAUUGCCAAUAUCACGCGCAGUGGUUCCCGUCCAUGAGCGGCAUCGCCAGAGCGCAAGGGGAGGAGGCGAAGAAGGCGGCGAUCGACCAAGUCGUCGAAGGCCUGUCGCUGCUGGAGGACGCGUUCGGCAAGAUCAGCAAGGGCAAGCCCUUCUUCGGUGGGGACACCAUCGGCUUCCUCGACAUCGCGCUCGGGUGCUUCCUCGGGUGGGUGAGGGUGACGGAGAGGACGCAAGGUCUGAAGCUGCUCGACCAGGCCAAGGUCCCGGGGCUGGCCAAGUGGGCCGAGAGGUUCUGCGCCGACAGCGCGGUAAAGGGGGUGAUGCCGGAGACGGAGAAGCUCGCCGAGUUCGCCAAGUUGAUAAUGGCCAAGUUCAGAGCUCCUCCUCCCCAGUGAAUCAGGGAGAAGCAGUUUCUUGUUCGCUCGUUUUAGACGCGCAAUCGUGCGGUGAUGACUGAGUAGGGGAAUAAAUGUUGUGGACCUUCUUGGGUUGCUUACAGCUCCGACAUGUCACUCUUUUGAGGUGGCCGGGGUACGCUCAUUUAGAGCAGGGUGGCAGAAGAAUGUACUGUCGAGGUCUCGGUUGAACUUUGUAUUUAACAAAGAUCAAUCUGGCCUUUCUGAAUUAAUUUCUUGUCCAGAGUACGCGCCGUUGAUCGGUUCUCCCAUCUUUUCCGGUUGAAAUUGACGCAGAUAAUAACCUUCGUGUUUUAAAAAUCAACUUACAUUCCAAAAAUAGAUUUUUCUAUUUUUAUUUCAUGGAUAGAUUUCGCAGUAAAAAUAAGUGUUUAAUAACGAUAUAGCAUUUUUAUUCCUAAAAUAGAAAUUCAAUAGAUAACAAUACAAAAUUUUUUAACUCUUAGACAACGGCAACAAUAUAUGGCUAACGGUAAUUGAUGAUCGGCGGAUGGCAAUUGGUGACUAGUGGGCGGUGGUCGGCAAACAACAACCUUCAGUGGGUGGCUGGCGGACAACGGUGGAUGGUGAUCGGUUGUGGCGGACGGCAACUUGCGACCAAUGGCGAUAGCGGCAGACGAUAGCUAAAGAUCACAUCGGUGGCGGCGGAUAGCAAACAGUGACCGGCGGCAGCAAACGAUGAGCAAUGGUAAGUGAUUGACCGAUUAGUAGAAAGGACAAAUGAAUGAGAAUAAUUUCUAUUUCUCAUUUCUAAUAGAAAUAAAGAAAGUAGAAAAUUUUUCCUUCUCAUUUAUGUUUCAAACUUAUUUCUAAAUUAAAAAUUUAUUCUAGAAUAAAAAAAAUGAAAUUACAUUAUUAAAUAGAUUUACAAUCCAAACUUAUUGCUAGAAACAAAAAAAAUAAUUUUGGCUAGAAAAAGAAUGGUUAUCAUACGCGACGUCUAUACUUUCCCUUUGAAUUAAAUGCUCCCGUCUCUGAGUCUAGAACAACAUGAGAUUGGAAGAUAAAUCAAGCUUGUGUGGAGUUGAAGUCGCAAAUAAUAACGAGGGUGAUUCGAUUGAGCUAAGGCAAUAUUAUCGCACCCCAAAAUCUAUAAGGAUAGGGUAAUGACAUAAUCGUCAUUUCACUUGAAUGAUAUAACCUCAAAUUAUAAGUCCAACUCCCAAAAAGUCUCCAUCGAGAGCGCCAUUGUAUUAUCGGCCGCUAAUUGAGAAAACUAGAAAGAUUGGGAAAUGAGGGAGUGAACAACCACAGUUCAGUUAUUAGUACAUCUAUUCAAAGCAAAUUGAGUAUUCGCUAUACACAUUCAACAAAACAACAUCAAAACUAUUUAUCUCAAUACAUGUGUAUAAAAUGAGUUAUAUUGCUUUAACAUAACUAUAAACAUAUCUGAAAACAUUCGUUAAAUCAAUAUCAUAAUGAACAUCAACGGUCCAAUCCAUUGAUCAAUCUCAACAACUCGUGUAUUAAUGAUUUAUUCCAUUGAUAAAUCUCAUCAAACUACACAUCAAUGAUUCAUUCUAUCAACUAAUCUCAAAUUACAUGUCAAUGAUCCAUUCCAUUGACUAAAUUCAUAUUAUCAAUGGUCCAAUAAAUACCAUGAUCAUUUAUAACGUUUGCUUACUAGGCGACUAAGCUCCUCCCUUAGUAAAAUUUUCACCUAUAUUGCUAAUGGCUAGCAAAUAUAAUAAAAUAGUAUUUGCAUACCUGCUUGGGUUAAUAGUGAUAUUAAGCAUCAAACUCACAUUCUCUAAUAUCCACAUAGUCAAUCCAAAAUAUAAAUUACAAUUCGAUUUCAUAAACCAAAACAUAUAAUCUUUCGCAAAUCAACUCAUCUCUUGGAAUACUUUUCGUAAAAUAUUUCUCACACUAUUUCGGAAUUCAUUUCACAAACUGAAUUUAUAAACAUUAUUCUUCACAACGCAUUUCCUAAAACAUUUUCCAAACCAUUCUCAAAUACCAAAAAAUAAUAAAUGUCCAAUCCAGAUUUUUACACAAGGUACAUGUUCUUUCAUAACUCAUAAUACAUCAAAUCUUUAUAAUCUUCAAGACAUGAGUUUACAAGUUUAUAGAAUAGAUAGCAUUACUUAUUUGGGAGUUCCCACACCAAACAACAUGGCUGAUUUGAAUCGACGAUCUCAUAAUCUUAACAAUUAAACAAGACUACCCCAAAAUCAAGGAAAAUACUACCUCAACAAGCUUAAAUGCUAACAAAAUAACUUCUAUGCGAAAACAAAUCACUUACUCACAGCAAUUACUCAAACCUAAAUACAACACGGAACUCACAUAUCAAACUCUAAAAUUUCCCUCUAACUAAACCAUUGUUUUGAAAUGACUCCCGUCAAAUCUUAUGGCUCUAUAACGACAUAAACCAACAUUUUCAUGAAAUUCCAAAACUCAAUAACUCAAGAAUCGGACUUUGCUAGUUCGAAUUUUACAAAACUUCAAAGUUAAAUCGUAAUUUAAAAAGCUGCUUCAAUUGAACGAACGAAAGGUGCAGAAGAGAUUGCAAUACGGAGUUAAGUCGGUUUGACAAGGCAUCCGUGGCGAUUACCCCUCUCCUCCCUUUCCUUCCCUGUCUCGUGUUCUUUUCCUUCCCGUGUUUUCUCGGCGCGUCUCAGCUCUUAUAUAUUGAGCGCUAAAGUGUUCACUUUCUUUCAUUUGUUGACCAGUCUUUCUUUUUCUUCCUUCUUCUUUUUUUCCGGGUCCCACAACCUUUAGACCUGGUCAACCCACGUACUACAAAUAAGAUUGCAGACCUAACAUGGCAUCGAUCGAGGUAUACUCUUGAUCGCCACGGACGUCUUGAACACGCUCAAAUGGAAAUACCGUGUUAAAUCUUGAUCAGGAGAGAGAGAGAGAGAUGACGAGGCUACGGCGACGACGACACAUAAUCGAUGGACUUGACAAGGUGGGAGGCGACGGUGGCGAUCGGAGCAGCAGUAACUGGAGCGGGCUCGCGUGGAGCAAGAACCCCUUUCGAUUGACCUCGCCCUCCUCCUCGAUAGCAACGCAUCCUUUCGCUGAGCUGGCGAGUCACAAACAAGCAAAGAAAGAGAAGCAUAACAUGGCAAUCCGCGCAACAUAAGGUACAAAAUCGAGCGGAUUCUAAAAAAUCCAAAUAAUCUAAUCGAAUAAAAAAAUCCAAGCACCAUAUCUCACUAAAAUUCAAAUACUUUAUAUAGUAUGGUCUCUCCGCCUCAUGUUUAUCUAGAAGCGUAAACUGGCGUCUUCAAUUUUGAUCCUUCUAAAUGGUCGACACGUAAGCAAAUGGAGUGUCAAGUUUUUAGUCCCGCCGACGCCCCCUUUCUUUGAACCCUCCGACAUCGCUCUCAGCCCGAGAAUAAGUCACGCGGCCAAGACGCCACCUUGAAUCAGCCGUGGGAAAAUCCGCGUCCUCGUUCCCACUCACCAAUCCAAUCACCUUCUUCUCGAGCCUUGCCCAUUAAGAAAAGCCAAAAGACUCGACGUAACAAAGUCAAAAAACCCCGAUUAUCAAUCCCAACAAGAAACAUCCGAACGCCAUCCGCCUUUUCUCUUCAACAUCACCCUCCCAAAUAUUAAAUUAUACUCCCGUCCAGAACUCCACCGCAUAAUCCACUCCCACCGCCCUCUCGUGAUCGUUGAAGAGGGAAACCCAAGAAAGCAAAGAAAGAAGAGCAGGAAAGAGCAGGGAAGUUCAAAAGCUCGUGAGCUCCGAUGGAUCUCUUCACGAAGACCGGGGCCGUCAAGCUCCGGAGCCACCUCGACAAGUACCUCGUCGCCGACGACGACCGCAAGACCGCCCGCCAGAGCCGCAACGGCGCCGCCGCCCGCGCCCGCUGGUCCGUCGAGCCCGUCGAGGGCCGGGCCGACCUCGUCCGCCUCCGGAGCUGCCACGGGCGCUACCUCGCCGCCUCCGACGAGCCCUUCCUCCUCGGCAUGACCGGGAAGAAGGUCCUCCAGGCCUUGCCCGGGGAGGGCCCGUCCUCCAGCUGGACCUUGGAGUGGGAGCCCAUCAGGGACGGGUUCCAGGUGAAGCUGAGGAGCUGGUGCGGCAAGUACCUGCGCGCCAAUGGGGGCCCGCCGCCGUGGAGGAACUCCGUCACGCACGACGACCCCCUCGCCGGGGGGACGCAGAACUGGGUGCUGUGGGACGUGGAGGCCGUCGCGGGGAGCGCGGAUUGGGAGGCGCCCGAUGAAUACUCGUCGGCGUAUUCGAGCUUCUCGUCGUCCGUCGGCGGCAGGGAUGAUGAUGUAGCGGCGCGUUCGGAGGUUGUGUCGCCGACGGCAGUAGCGGUUGCCCCAAGCAAGAUGGAGAUAAAGCAGGUAUGCAUCUUCUUCUUCUUCUUCUUCGUCUUCUUCAUGUGCCAGUUGCUUGUUCUUGAAGUUCUCAUUCUACUAGUACCGAUCUUGCGCAGUGAUUUUUUUUUUUUUUCUUUGGAAAAUUAUUGAUCAAAUAACGCGUAUAUAUCACGCAUACAUUAAUCGGGUUUAUUUCUCCGCAUCAUUUGUCAAAAAAGCUUCCGGAAAAUUUUAAAUAUUGUCACUAAUCUCAAAAAAGAAAAGAAAUAAAUAAAGUAGACGUGGGAUAGGUGAAUUUUAAAGAUUAAAUUAAACUCACAUGUAGAGGAUAGAAGAAUAUACAAAAAGAAAAUGUCAAGAAAUUCUAGAAUGAACGUCGACAUAAAGGACAAAUGUUAGGUAGACAAUGAGUUGAAUCACUCCCAUCACUCGAGCUUGAUUAUAUGGCGAGUUCGAGUCUACUUGGACUAGAGAACAUUUCUACGGGUCGUGGUCCCGCCAACUUAACUUUAGUAACUAUCAUGUUAUAGCUACAUGACCAUACUAAUGCUUAUAAUGAAUUGCUGAUGCAACCACUUGGGGGUUGCCCCAAUGACUACCUAAGGAGGGAGAGGCGAGGAGUCUGAUUCUCCACCUUCUCGAGGGUUGGGGUGAGGGUGUGUAAGUGAGGAAGUAAAAUUUUACAAAAGUUAAAAAAAGAAUUAGUAGUGUGUAAGUUCCCAUGUUAGUGCGGUAAUUUCACAUAUAAUGGUUAACAUUUACGUUAACGAUUUUUAAUUAAAAUUAGCUAGAUGAUGACAAAAUUGAAAAGUUCAACAGAAUUGAUGAAACUGUAAUAAAUUUAAGGUUUUUUAGAUAAUUUUCCUAAGAUUCUUAUUUAGAUUAUCUAGUCGGAGAUUUAAUCGAAACGAAACCCGUCAUAUCAUAAAGUGAAAAGGCGGAUCAAUUUCUUGAAUGAGUUGAGAAGACAUUGGAAACCCAAGGAAAUGAAAAACGGUGUGAACGUAAGUCGGCCUUAAGUGUUCAGCGAAAGCAACCUUACAAUAGUCUCACGCGGUGGACAGCUUAAUCAUAUGAGGCCCAUGUCAAUUCAUUUGUGUAGCUGCUGGAAAUUAACCAAAUAGAGACAUGAAAUGUCACGACAGAAGAUAGUGUAUUGAUUAGCAAAUGGGCACAAAGAAGCUUCCGCUCAUCUUUCCUAUUAAAUAGGAUAAUUAACUACGGAAAGAUUUAAAAGUUUGUACUAACUUUAUACUCUAAAUAAUAUAAUUCAUGAAGCCAAUACAGUAUAACUUACGUACCGUACCAUAUAAGUUUUAGGUGAAUCUGACGAGAACCCUAUUGAAUUAAAUAGACGAGUUGAUUUGCCACUAGGUGAUAUUUAGCCUAGCGACUGAGUCAUCUAGAUGUCGAUCUUUUUCCCCUUUAAACAAGCACUCCACCAACCCACUAAGAGAAGUUCCUCUUUGUCUCUCCUCUUUGCGCCCACCUAGCAUUUCUUUUUUAAUCAAUGAAGGGGCAAGGAGAGCCGAUCACCAUAGUAAUGUUACACCGUAAGAUUACUAUGGUGAUCGGCUAGAAUUAUAGUUCCUCAAUCCACCCGUAUGUACGCUAGCUCCAUCGACAUAUUAGAAGUCAAAAAAUAUCUCCCUAUAAAGUAACAAAUAUCGAUGGCACUAGCCUGCAGGAAGUUCACUUAUAAUAUGACUUAUAAUAUGUGACAUCAUGCUCACAAGAGGAAAUUGUCAAAACAUUUUAAAUCUAUUGCACUUAUAUCAAUUCAAUCAUAAACAUUGCUAAUUGAAUUUUAAAUCUUUUUGCAUUUUGUUAAUUGAGUUUAUCCAGUUAAUUUUGAUCGAAAAUCACUAUGUAUAUACUAGCUAUCCUUCAUGACUUGACAGGAGCUGACGUAGACACUUAAUAAUAAUUUUUUUAUUUUCUUUUACUAAGAGGCGACAACAAGGGUUGUUGACUAACCCUCAUUGGCUAGAAGCAAGGGCUGCAAUGCCCUCGCCCGAGGCUAGUAAGGGUUGCAACGCCCACACCUUGCUCUAAUUUGGCGAGGGUGUCAUGGCUCUUGUGUCCUUGCCCAAUGCCGGCUAAGGUUGCCCAGUGGUCCUUACUAGUCCUCAAUCCAAACAAAACGUGAAGAAAAAAACCAAAAAACUCAAAAAAAAAAAUUAAAUGUUAUUUAAAAGUGCCAAUGUUAAUGUUGAUUGUACCACAUAGGACAGCCAGCUCCACAUUAGUGAUUUCUAACUUAAAUUAACCAAAUAUUCUCAACUAAUAAAAUGUGAAAAAGUCUAGUAUUUAAUAGGUUUAGGAUUUUUUUUUAUAAUUGCCCCCCCCUCGCGCACGCACCUAGUAACCCGUGAUUGGACAAGAAAUUGAACGACGCGCAAAGGGUAGAAAGGAAAUCCUCCGUGUGUAAAGAGGCUCUUUAAAAGAGCAAAGAGGAAUACGAUGACACGCCACUCCAUAUUUAAACGGUUAAGGAGCCUCUCUCCACGUGCUUCCCUGAUACAACCUCCAACCACCUCUCCCCACUAUAUUUCAGCACCAAUUGGCCGCACUGAUUAAGGAGGAGGGUCUCUCUGCUGAGUGGUUUCGUGAGAUUUGUCAAUCAUGCAAUGUCCAGUGAGAAAACAAUUUCUUUUGUCUAUAUGAUAAUCAAACCCAACAUAAGAAGGAUGGCCUUGUUGUGCUUUGGAAAAUAACCAAUUUAUUUUAUUUCUGUACACUUAAUAAGUGCCCUAGAACAGAAUCUUCAUGAAGAGAAAAGCGAAGGACGGCUGUAUCCAUCCAUUCUUUCGCACCCACUCCUUUAGGCCAUGAUGGAUUCUAGGUGGAGCGCGUUUGUUAUCCGUCAAUUCAAAAGCAUCACGGACCUGACGACGAUUCUGUGAACUAGCUGGGGGGACGCUUUUUGCUAAGAAAUUGUGGUUUCCAGGCAGCAUGUUUGCAUGCGCACCGUGUGGGAAAUUGGAAAGGAUCUUCUCUUUUUUCUUUUUUUCUUUUUGUCGACCAAAGGAUCUUCUCUGUUGAUGAGUAUAGUACAGAUGGGUAAUUGGGUAUGCCUUAAGCAGUUUUAGGUUCUUCUAGUCUAUAUUUCUGCUGCAUAGUUUUGAGUAGAAGAGUUGCGUGCGGGUCUUAAGCAGAGGCUGUCGUAUAAAUCACUUCACUUGAUCAAAGCUAGAGGCUACAUGGACUUCACUGUUGCCUCGUAGCUUAGACACCUAAGUCUGCAAUUAUUUGACUAUGCUACAUACUUGCUGUGUCGCAACUACUGAGGUUCCAAUUUCUGAUCUAAUUAAAGCCAAAAAGAAGUAGGGUGAUCCUGUGUACAUAAGUCAAUCGCAUCGAAAUGCUAAAUGACCAAGACCUCGCAACAAUUAAUUUAUAUAGGCAUUUAAGUAUUGAGGAUUGACCUAGGCGACACAUGGUAGAUUAGAAUCGUCUAUUCAUGAUGUUUGAUCGAUUAAUCUUCACGGAUACAUGCAAAUUGUUUUGUUCACGUGCAUCGGAUAAGGCUCCACUCAUAAGGUGAUGGGUGUGGCCCUCAAAAGUUAAGAUUUAUACGAGCAAAUAAGGCCGGUCAUUUAGACCCCGGAAUCCAUUGAAUCCAACCCGAAACACCCGUCCCCGUCAAGCAAGCUUAACUUUUGAGGUUCAGGAUAUUAUUCUUUUUUUUUUAAAGAUUCGUAGGAACGCCGUGAAUCCUGGAUACACGCCACCCUUCCCCCAAAAGCCAGCCCCGCCGGCCGAUUCUCACUUCUAAAAAGUUAAAAGGGAUAAAAGGGAGGGGAGAUGAACCUUCCCCGGGUAGGCCCCGAAUAUACGCCGCUCUCUCCCGGUGGGCCCCCGGCCCCUCGCGAUCACCGGCCGCGUCCAACAUCUGUCUUUGACUUUUUCGGCGUGUUCGCUGACCGGCACCUUCCCCGCCCGCCCCCGCCCGCCCCCCUGCUCCUUAAAUAUCUACUUUAUUCCUUAACUCUCGCCGGCGCAGCGUCCUGUCGCGUCACGACACAUCUAACUGCUUCCCUGUCUUAACUUCUCACCACGUGAGCUCAUUCAAUCGCCUCUCUUUCUGUCUCUCCUCUUCCGUUUUCCGGCAGAUCUCCAGCGCCGGCUUCUGCAUCCUGACGGGGAUGGAGUUCUUCCGCAACGCCAAGGCGGUGCGCCUCCGGAGCCGCCACGACAAGUACCUGGUGGCGGAGGAGGACGAGGAGGGCGUCACCCAGGGGCGCGACGGCUCCUCCCGGACCGCCCGGUGGUCGGUGGAGUUCGUCCUCAACUCCGACGCCGUCCUCCGCCUCAAGAGCUGCUACGGCAAGUACCUCGCCGCCUCCAACCAGCCCUUCCUCCUGGGGAUGACCGGGCGCAAGGUCGUGCAGUCCCUCCCCCGCCGCCUCGACUCCUCCCUCGAGUGGGAGCCCGUCCGGGAGGGCAGCCACGUGAAGCUCCGCACCCGCUACGGCAACUUCCUCCGCGCCAACGGCGGCCUCCCGCCCUGGCGCAACUCCGUCACCCACGACGUCCCCCACCGCACCGCCUCCCAGGAGUGGAUCCUCUGGGACGUCGACGUCGUCGAGAUCGAGGUCCAGUCCCCCACCGCCAUGCGCCCCGUCGAGCCCCUCGACCACCUCGACUCCUCCCUCGGAUUCGAGCCCGCGACGUCGCCUUCGUCCUCGUCCGCGAAUUCCGGGCGGUUCUCUCGGCAGGAGGUGCGUGUUCCCACUUUACAUUUCUCUCUCUCUCUCUCUCUCUCUCUCUUUUCUCUCUUCAUUUUAGCAUCUAUGAAUGGUUCUUUGCGGAUUUAUGUUGCGCAAGUGCUUGACGAGAGAUGGCGCAAGUGCUUGACGAGAGAUGGAUUUUGGCCAAUUUUGUUAAUAGAAAUUUUUAUGGCAAGAUUCGAUUUUGUGGCCGAGUAAUCAAUCCCCUUGAAGAUAUGCACGCGCUGUUCGAUCUGAUUGAUAAAUUGUGCUUGUGAAGGACAGUUGCGGUGGACCUUAUAAGACUUCUCCACUGGGCUGAGUUUGGCAUUGAUCUGUCGUUACUCGAGCGAGCCGACGUUGAGUGUGUGGAAUUUGACUUAUUUUGUACUUGGAUUUGCUUGUGUAGUCGAACGAUUCUUAUGCUGGGUCACCCCCGAAAUUGGAAGGGAGGACCGUAUACUACCACAUUGCUGAUGAAAACGGGAAGGUCGAAGGGGAAGAUAUGGAAGGCUAUACUUUGAACUUCAAGGGGAACAAUGUGGAGGAAUUGACUCACAGGUUGGAGGAGGAGACAGGGAUGCAGGGCAUUUUCGUGUGCUCUCGAAGCCCAUUGAAUGGGAAGCUCUUCCCGCUUCGCUUGCAACUUCCCCCUAAUAUUUCGACUUUGCAUGUCAUCGUUGUGCCAUCCUCCUCAAUAGGUGAGAUCUUUGUUUAAACUCCUUGUUUUCUUUGCUGAGAAUUAUCUCUAUACUUUGGAGUAUAUACAUUUUAGGCCAGUUCUAACUCGAGUCUACUUGAGUAGUACAUAAUGCAUUGGAUGAUUGGUGAUUGGUCGAUAUUCUUCCAUUUGUGAUUUCUGAAUCCACUUUACAUUGAACUGCUGAUACUUUAGCAGCAUAAGACUAUGAUAUUUUGCUACUCUUCGGCAAAGAAGGACGACAUUGUCAUUUUGGCCAAUCAUGAAAAAAUGUGAUCUCUCUUCAUCUCAGUACUGAAAAAUGUAACACUGAAGAUUCCUUGAGUAAGAUAAAUAUAUGAAUGAAAUGUCGAAGGGCCUGAAAGGAUUUAGUAGUGAUGUAACAAUGCAUCCAAUUGCUAAAGUAAACAGUACAGAUGCAUCCGAUUUGGAGGAUGACAAGGUAAUCUUACUCUAGUGAGUUCAUGCUACCCCAAAGAGGAGCAGUCUCUUGGUUCUUAUAAUGGCUGUCUGGUGUUUAGGCGUUUAAUGCAGUGGUUCUCCUGCUGUAUAUAUCAAAACCUUUGUAUGAGUAGAAAAGGCAUGAUGAUUUUAUGAGGAAAAGCAGUGAGCAUCAUGUAGCAGUUUGGGCUUUAUAUCGCUUGCAUAGAUUGCCUAGAAUUGAGUUCCCAAGCAAACCGUUGUAGACAGGGUGAAGAACUCAUAGCUCAAUUCAUUUGGAUAAAAAAAGAUUAUUCAGCAUUCCAUCUACGAUGUCAGAGAGUUCUAAAAUCAGCAAGCAAAAUUUUAGGAGGUUACUUGGAACUAGAAUGGAAAGCUGGGUUGAAAAUGAAGCCCUCAUACCAUCUUGGGAAUAGCCUGGCGAGCGCAAAGUUACUAAACUCUAGGAGAGAACUCUUUUUUCUAUAGACUGCAGUGGCCACAGUAAUCUGAAGGGUGUACUUUGCCUUAUAGACCAGUUAAGGUGGUUGUUGAUCAGAUGGAUUGAGGACAAGAAAAGGAUCAACAACUUCCUAAUGUUAUAUCGUCAGCUGGUUACUAGCUCUAUUUUUUUUCCUCUCCAUUUUUUCAUGCUUUCUUUGUUGUUUGCAUUCGUCUAUGAAACUCUCUCUCUCUCUUUCUCUCUCCCUUCCUCUCUCUCUCAUAUUUUGCUCUGCUUUUCUUUCAAUGUAACAGUGGCUGAAGACUUCAUUAAGUAAGGGAUUGUGAAGCAGUCAUGGAGCAAGAGUAUAGGGCGUACAAAAACGUUCUACAGAAUUACAUAUUCAUAAGCUUUGAUUGAGUUCUGCUUUUACGCUUCCAGAGACCUCUACUUGUUAAUUGUUCGUAGAGGAAGUAUCGACCCAAUUUUAUUGCCUGAAAGCGAGAAAAGGAAGAUGUCAGAUGGGUGAAGUAUCAUAAUAGCACUCUCCAGUCUCCGUCACCGGCCAUGAUGUCUGCAGUUUCUGUCAGCCUUGGAAGUUUAUAAAUGGCACUUGGAAACUUUUCUAUUUAGGUUUAUACCAAAUUCUUUCAAUUUUUGUUUGAUUAAAUUUAUGUACGGUCCUAUGGUGAUGUGAGAUGUUUGGCUGGAUCAAUUUCCAUUGUAUCGUCCGACCCCAUUUGUACAAUUCGCAUGAGGUUGUUCUGUAAGUUGUUGGCACCCUGACCAUUAGUGUUUGCGUUUCAGCAAACUUUCCGGCUCAUACUGUUGACCGAAGGGAAAUUAAGUCCCCUAACCAUGUCAUUCGAUUGUUACUUAGCUGCAUCGAAAGAGCAAUUCAGCCAAAACCUCAUGGAAGAUGAUUAUUAUUCAAGCAUGAUCUUUGGCAGUGAAUAUGCCCGUGUCUCAUCUGUUUCUUAGCAACCGACUCCAAGAAAAAAUAUUAAAAGCAAGAGAGAGAAACACGAUCUUUUUCUUUUCUUUUCUUUUCUUUUCUUUUCUUUUCUUUUUGGGUCAGAAACGCGAUCUUAUUUAUCUGUGGAAGGCACAGGCCGAUCAUACUUUUGUCGACUGAGGAGGCGGCGGUCAGAUUGCAUAGUGGUGCGAAUUGCUCUGAAGGUAUGGUUGUGACUUGUUGCAGUUUUGCUCAAUCUUGUUCCUGAGCUCAUCCUUCUUGGCGCCAAUCACUUCGUCCACCACCUUCCCGUUCUUCAUCAGCAAGAAUGUUGGCAUCGCCUGCACCUCAUAUUGCCUCGCCACAUUCUGCAUUUCCACAACAACAACGUUCACAUUAUCCUGAGUACACACGAUCGAAACCCGACACCAUAUGGGCAUGCAAGUCCAACUUUAUUGCAAUGAUCAUGCGGCCCUUUUCAAUUCCUUGGAAGGGAAAAUAACGACAACCGUACCAUUAACUCAUCGACGUCGAUCUUGAUGAAGUCGACGUCAGCGAACGUUUCUGCGAGCUCGUCGAUCGUCGGCUCCAUCCUGCGGCAAGGUCCGCACCACGUGGCGGUGAAGUCGAUCACCAUCUGUUGCCAUACCAAUAUUUUGAAGCACAGUCAAUAUGAAGCAAUGGAAAUGAUGAAUGAAAAAAGAGAGCAACAGUUCAGUCAUCAAUGGAGCAGCAUUAACCAGCUUGUUGUUCCCUUUCGACGCUUCGAAAUGCUCAUCCCAUCGAGAUUUGGAGUGAAACUCCAUGACACGGCUCGCCUUCGCAGGAGCCCAGUCGUUGUGCUCAUCCCAUCGAGAUUUGGAGUGAAACUCCAUGACACGGCUCGCCUUCGCAGGAGCCCAGUCGUUGCAAUCUCCGGAAGACACGUUCUGUCCCAUCAGUUAUUUCCUUUUUCCUUCUCUUUUGUCCCUACAAUACGACGGCUAAUGGCUUAUGCAAAAGCUAGCAAAUGCUUUGGGGAUUGGGAGGUGCUUUGCUUGGCUUGGAUUAUAAGGAAUUGGUGGGGGGUUUUAUACUACAAUAAAGGCAGCAAUGGAACCAUCGUUACGCAUCGGAAUAGAUUCUGACCACGACAGGUGGUCCAGCAACAUGGUGUUUCUCCAUCGAACUGACGGGCGGGACAUGGGAGCAUCGUUCCCUGAAAAGAAGGGAGGAAAAAAAACACCUUGUUUAAAAGGGGGCAAAGGCAUAUAACGCUUGCGAAAGAAUUCGUUACGUGACCAUUGAUGGUUUUUAUAAUGCAAAGACAAACUGAUAGCGUGUCCGUACUACGCUACUUGCUUGGUGCUUGAGAGGUUUUCGAUUUGGUCAAGUUUUGUGUUCGAACCGCUUUAUUAUUUUUGUGUACGAACGGACGACGAUGCCCCAAUUCGGGUUGCUAUCUUUCGCGUUGGGUGCUAUACAGGUCAUACAAGCUUGGAUUCCCAGUCAAGCACAUCUCUAAUUAUUUCGGUGUUUUUCCUAUUGGGGCUCAAAAGAAAUUUGUUAGGCACACUAGAUAUUCCGUGAGAACCUCAUCGCAAGUGCGAUCAAUUUCAUAAUCCCUACUUCCACCAUAGAAUUUGGAUAAAUGCAAGUCUAGAAACAUUCCCACCAAGUCCUUAGCUGCAUUAGUUUAAAAAUGGGUGAAACUAGAUAUACACGAGUCACACCACUUAUACAACCAUUUCACAGCAUUUAGUAAACAAAAUUGGGUACACUACCUGAGAGGUUACUUGGUACAAGUUUCAAUCGGUGAAGUUAUACUGAUGUAUAGCAAGAGUCUGACUUGAAAGUAGAAUUUCCCAUCCGGGACUAUCACCUAAUGCAUGGACACAACCUUUAUUUUGUGCUGUGACAAUUCUCAUAAUGAACGGUGCACUUGAGUUUUCCACGUCAGUACUCUUGCUGGUUCUAACAAACGAGUCAGCUCCAGUUGAUUAGAAUUGAAACUGGUGGGACUUGAUUAAGAAAGUAAUGCAAAUUUCAAACCUAAUUAGAUAAAUCAAAAGUUUAAGGACUGAGAUUGAAAAAAUGUGUAAGUUUAGGGAGUAAAGGUGGACUUUUACCUAAUGACUGAUGUCUAAGAAUUUCCGCAAUUUAGUAAUUUUCUAGAACAAAUUGAGGACUUUUGAUAGAUGAUUCAUUACCUCAAGAAAUAUAUACGAAGGUAUCUUCCCUCGCCUUAAUUAGAGAAAACUUCUCGAGCCACAAUCUGAUUGGUUGGUUAUAAAUAUUGAUGUCACUCACUUCUAUCUUAAGUUUAUUUAUGACAAUUUCAAUGUUUCAUAACUCAUCAAUGAAAAAAAGAAAAAUAAGUUCGAGCAUUUGACUAUCGGUACGUCAAUUGCCAAAUAUAGCCAAUCACGGGGGAUUUUGAUUUCGAUAAUCUUUGGCACCAAAAAGGGGAAAAACUGUGGGCCGCUCAGGAUGGCGGAAGGGUAAAGGGAAUAUUAUGAUGCCCUAUCUAAAUCGCAAAUUAAAGCCUAACAGUCCAUGCUUCCAAGUGAACAAGGAGAGCAUGAGAUUCUCUUCCACUAACAAAUUCUUUUAAUCCUAUAAUGAGCAAUAAAUCAAGAUGCAUCCAAUUUGUAAGUGAACGGUAACGCACUCUGGUAUUUUUCUGCUUUUGGCCACUCAGAUUACGUGAGGCAAACGAAGUGAAUGACUGCGCACGACGCAGUUGCAGCGGCACCAACGGUUCUCUUUGCCUAGGUAGAAUAUAAUCGAUCGUUUGACAUACCAAAAGUGAAAGACACCGGAUACGCCGUCAUACGCCAUUACAGAGAUUCGAUUGCCGACAGACGACUCUAAAUCGAAGUGGGCAUGGCUGUCAUUUUCUUCGACAAGCGGAAAACGAAAGAAUUCUGAUUCUGAAUCCGCCUCAAAGCUUGAGGAACCAAUUUUCUGCCGAGCAGGAGUUCAACGGCCUAGCAACACCAAAGGUCGCAAUCGGAAGCACCGUCAGCUCAGUGCUGUCCCUGCACUGUCCAUGGCAGGAGUUGCUCCAAACUCUGCAUGACAACUAGAGAUCAGGGUUUGCUUGGGAAGCAGGGAGAGGCGAGGGAGGCGGGUGGGCGAGGAAAAAUGGAAAAGAACAUUGAAUUUAUCAUGAGAGGUAAACAGAGAGAUACAAAAUUUUCUGUCUCUCCUAAGUUUUCCACCCUCGCAGACAAAGCAUAAACAACGCAUUAAGCUACCCUGAAUUUUACCACAUAAUUUCGUAUAUCCAUUCUAACUGGGAACUACUUUUCACCUGGUGCAUCCCCAAAUGGAAACCCUUCAAGGGCUACAUCUGGAAGACUACGGCAUAUCUCCAAAGCACAAGGCAACGAGGACCAAACCCACCGCCCCUCUUCCCAUGCACAUUCUUAUAUGCCGCCUUCGGCAUCUUAAAGCGGAAAAUUAUCUUCCUAAGCUUAAAAAGCCAUUGCUAAACUCUUCUACAGAGAUCGCCAACGAAAAGAGAAGGGACUGGUACGAAUUAACUAUUUAGCAAUCGGCACAAUUAAACCUAAAGACAAGUUUUUCUUUGGACUCCGAACGAAAGCAAAGUUCCGUUUUUCUUCUUUUCUCGUCAAAAUUUAAGAUAUUAUCGAACUUUAGAAAUUUACGAGAAACUAUGUGGAAGUACCCAGAAUUUCGGAUUCGAAAAAACUCCAAUCGCGUGAUCUCAAGAUUUAGAUCAAGGAAAAAGCAAAAUGCGAAAGUCAAUCCAAACAUACCCUAAAUUUCUACAGAAUUCCACAUUUGAAAAGGAUGCUUCAUGUUUUCCCAGAAAGCGUUCAGUCAUCUAAACUCCUGGAAUGAGAAUAGAGUCCGGUAAGUGAUAUUAAUCUAAGUUCAGCUUUAAGUGCAAACCACAAGCUCAAAAGCAUUGAGGUAACUUCACUUAACCAUAGGCAAAACUAGUAAUCCAUCACCCUCUUCACCGCUGAAUGUCUGCUCAUGAAGCCACCCCCACAUCAGCAGGGGCAUGGCCGUCAUGAACCGCCGGACCAUGGUUGUUGUAGGAAUGCACACCUCCCCUGCCGCCUCUCCCUCUAUUGUUGUAGUAGUUUCUAGGAUAAUAGUUACCGGGCUGCUCAUAAUAGUGGCCGCGCCCAUUCUGGUAGGGCCCACCGCCCCUCCCUCCACUUCUCCCUCCUCGACCAUUGGGAUAACCCCGGCGACCACCAUUACCUCCACCACGACCCCCUCUCUGGUUCUGGUAGUUUCUCCGAGGAAUGUACUGAUGAUCCUUCUGCUCUCUUUCCCUUUGAUUAAGCUCUUCCACCUGCGAAUUUACAUUUUCUUGUUGAGCUGAGGCAAACUCCGAAGGAUUAUCAGCUACUACGUCAUCCUGCGGAAAAGGCAGAGUCACUGAGCUCAUUAAUCUACUGAUAAAAGCAAACAUAAAGAUAUAGUGAGAAAAUCUGCAGGCACCUUAUGAACAUCAUCAACUGCAUUAGAUUCGUUAUCAACUUCAUGUCCUUGGAAGUCAGUCCCUGCUUCCUCCUAUAGAAGAAGGGAACAGUGUCAAGCAGAAAAUAAUCAACAACAAAUAAGCAUGGCUUCUCAUGCAAGAUAUUCAGUAUUAUUUUCUUGUUAUGCUACAUAGGAGCACACUCAAUUCUACUUGUUUGUUUGACAUGCAAAAUAUCAGACAAGAACUGCAAUAAAAGGCAAGCAUAUGUUUUUUGAAAAUUAGGAUGUCCUUGAUGAGAGAAGGGAGCCAUUGUAAGAGAAAAUACGAGAGACGCAUUUGCUAGGUUAUGAUAUUUGAUAAAUGGAGACUCAGGAUAGAAAAUCGAAUUUGUAUCCAAACAUUUUGUCAACAAACAAGUUUAUUGUCUCUCCAGGCUGUACAGUGCAACUAUGAUCAUUAAAAAGAUUGAUGAAUGCAUAUCGAUGACUAAUUGAUAAGACAAGAAUUCGGCUGUUAAAAGGAUUGACAAAAUAAAACAGGUUUUUUCAUAAAAGAGAACCUUUUGCUAAUUACCAUACCACAGUUCCAAAGUCUACUAAAUCCUAGUUAAGAAUAAGACUACAUCACAUAAUCUCAAGCAACCUCCUCCUUUUCUCCUUAAGAAGAUGCCAGUGCAAUGCCUAACUACAUAUAUAGUGCAACAAUGUUGAUUCACUAUUCUGUUUUGUUAUUCCUUUUCAUAAAAGGUUAACUAAAAGUAUGAGUUCUAAUGCCUAGAAGAACAGAAAACAGUUACCCACGCCUACCCAAAUCAUCAAAUGUGAUUAAAGUAAUCACAUAAACAGUGCAACUGCACUGCAAGAUCAUAUUGUUAAUUCUCAAAGAACAUAAAAUCACUACCAUAUAAUUAGAUUGCUUAAACAUCAGAAAUAAAGUAUCAAAUUUUAAACCCAAAAAAAAAAAGGAAUCUCUUUCUUCUUCUAAUGAUUAUUAUUUAUCUUUUCCAUUCUCCUUUUAUAUCAACUGUUACUAUUAUUUUGAGUAUAAAGAUUAAGGGAAACAACCAAAAACAUGGACAGAUAUGCUGGACCGAAGCAGGAAGAACACAUAAAAUUAGAUAAACAUAAUUCCUUUUUCUCCAAGAAAUAUCAAUGUAUCAUGAAAACAAAGAGAAUCUGCACACAAUAAAAGUUCAAAACAGAAGCUAUCUAAUGAAAAGGAAGACAGCAAAACUUUUCCUAAGAGAACUAAUCAUAUGGAGGAGAUUUCAUAUCCAAUUUGGAGCAACCAGGAAAGGCAUUUAAAUCAUAUACAGACAGCUUGUACAUGAGGGAGUAAGUUCAUAGAUCUUAUGAGAUAUUACUUGCAGCACAUAACAGGGUAACCUCACCUAUGACUUAAAAGUAGUAAGUAACGUGUUGACAUAGAAUUCCAGAAACAUUAACAAAAUGGAAGCAAAUUCAACGGAAUGAACUUCAAGAAAUGGUUUGUAACCUUAUCCACAGUGAUAAAAGAUGUAAUGGAAAUUUGUGAUUGAUGCAAUUAAUCAGCUAAAGAAGUAAAAUUAGCCAAUUUCAUCUAUUUUUCAAACAAGAUAAAACCAAUAACAUUGGGCAUCAGACUUUACACUGCAUGCACUGUGGCAAGUGCAUGCGCACACAUUCACAUAUACAAUGCCCUGUCACACAAAAGAAGCCCUGUCUAAUGUUAGUGCCAGCUUAAAAGUUGAAUUAUAAGCCCUAAUUACCCCUAUUCCAAAAGGAGAUCAUAUCUUCCCAACACUUCUAAUUACUCUCAAAAGCCCGUAGCACUACUUGUGGAACCUCCAUAUCCACGGGCUUAUUUUCUCAGCAAAAUGGCAAAUGGCACAUAUAAUAUGCCCAGUCAUUGUCUCAUGAAUUUCCAUAACCCUACCGUGCAAAAAUAGGACAUCCAUUUAAAUGCAUGUUCGUGUUAAUACACACACGCACACGUACAUAUAAAGUGAUCUUUCUUUAUCCAAUAGAAGGUGUAUUACGUUUGCAUGGUCCUUCUACAAUAAAAUUAGGCAGUUGCUUAUAUAGUUUCCUAUACACAAUUCUGCUAUUUACUUUACCAAAAUCAUUUUACUGGAAAAUAGGAGUAGGAGAAAUCAUCAUAAGGUAGAAGGUAGAAAGAGUGAGUAAGUCUUCAAAUUGAAAUGCUCGCUAUUUUAAACUAACUUACACAUGUCAAUCAGCAUGCCAUUAUGUGAACGACCAGGGUCCAAUAUCAGAUCCAUCAUCUAUCUAUCUCCAAAUUACUUUCACCCAACAUAGAAUGUCAAAAACCCUCUUUAUAACGCCCAUCCACUAAGGGGGAAAGAAACAAGAGGGACCUCACAUGUAAAUUUGUUGGAAAAGGAGCAAUCCUUGAUAUGCAUAGACUUGGAUAGAUGAAUAUUACUAAAGAAAUUGACAACUUCAUACGCAACACUUACACUGACAACCUAACCUGUCAAACUCAAAAUUAGUUGUUCUUUUUAUCUUCUCUUGACAAUCCAGCAGAAGAUUCAAGAAGAAAACUCAAAAGGCAUUUAGGGUUACGUCGGAGGGUACACAACAUCUACUUUGUGAAUACUAGGUGUCGUUUUGUCCUAAAAAUACCAAGAAAUUAAAUACAGUCUACCAUGUGCAAUUCAAGAAGAAAACUCAAGGGUGUUUAGGGUUAGGCUGGAGGGUCUCUACACAACACCUACUUUGUGAAUACUAGAUGUUGUUUUGUCCUAAAAAUACCAAGAAAUUGAAUAUAGUCUACCAUGUGCAAUUUCCUCCAGCAAAGUGACUAUUAACCUUUCUCUCUCUCUCGGACUACACUUUUGUUGAUAACAUUGACAUGUAAAACACUCUUCUUCCUUCAAAUCUUUUAGCUAACAGACUGCAGCCCCUAUCAAAACUUUAAAUUGAAAAGUUCAAUAGCCUCUAAAUUUUUCAACAUGUACUUAAAUUUUUAUCAAAAGUCUCUCAGGAUAAUAACUUGAUUACAUGUGAAUCAAUUGACUGUCAACAUGCAAGGGCCAUUGCAACCACCAGAUUCAACUACAUUAGUGGUAGGGUAGAAUAGCUAAAGCACUCUUGUUAAAAUGUCCCUUUAGUUUUUUAGCAGAGAUCAAGCAUGAGGGUAAUGCAUUAGUAUUGAAAAAUUGGGAUGGAAGAUUGCUACAAUAAAAUCUAGAUCAUAAGAGGCAUCCAAGAGCAAAUACAUCGAGUAAUUGUCAAAAGAAAUUGCCAUAAUAAGCAAGAUUAAAGAAUUUAAAGAUAUCACAAAGAAAACAACUUUCAAGAAACUGGAAUUGAAUAAAAACUCAACUCUAACUGAAACUUCAAAAUUCAUACCAUUUAAAAACAAAAUAAAAGCAAACCCACAUAAUCAUGCAGACCAUCAAUGAAGCAUGAACAGCAGAUAUGUCAACUAUAUUACCAGGGAGGGAAAGGGACUUAGGAUGGUGUUGUAGCGGGAUGAAUACCGAGUACUGACCCACUAAUAGGCAAAAACAGUCAAAUGAAGAAGGAAAAUUAAGAACAGAUGAUGAUGGUGAGGAGGGGGAGGUAGAGAAUGAGGUGUCCUGAUACACAUGGGAAGCGCAACUGACUAGUUGUAGCGGGAUGAAUACCGAGUACUGACCCACUAAUAGGCAAAAACAGUCAAAUGAAGAAGGAAAAUUAAGAACAGAUGAUGAUGGUGAGGAGGGGGAGGUAGAGAAUGAGGUGUCCUGAUACACAUGCCAAACUCAUUACAACAGAAUCCACUCUUUUCAGGAUCUAUCCAAGUCCAUUUCCCCCUGUUUCAUUACCUUAAGAUGAUGCAUUUAACUGCCCACUGCAAUCUAUAAAUGUCAUUAGCCUGUAAAUUAGGUUGUAAUGGGUAGUUACAUGCAAUUGAUGCGUUGGUAGCCCGUAAUUGAUGCAAUAGACAUCAAUCUCUGUAGGUUAGUUCCCUAUCUUUAGAAAGAUUUUUUUUUUUUAAAAAAUGGUCAAUUUACACCAUUUUGCCUACCAACCAACAGAGAUAGGUGUCUUCUAUUGUAGUUGCAGCAAAAGCUUGAGUAUUCUCCAAAACCAUUAUUUACUGGAACUAGCACCAGGAUUUAUUAAAUGAUGACAGGACACCGGAACUACAGGAUAAAGAUUCAAUUGCAGAGACUCACAUGCCACACUAAAAUAAAAGGACAGGUGACAAUGGAAAAGGAAGGAAUAGAUUCAGAAGUCUUCUAAAGGAUGGAUAACAGACUCUCAGACAAAGCAUUGCAGUAACUGAUCAUAUCGACAAGUUGCAAAAUGCAUACAAGAAAAAUCUGAACUUCUCAGAACUAUCAAGUAGAGAAAAAAUAAUAAAUCCAAAACAAGAAUUAAAGAGACCAAACCUCCUCCCAAAGUAAAAUAUAUAACACGCCAAGAACUACGCAAGGAACAAUCCACACACCUAUGAAACAGAAUAAGGAUGCUUAACAACAUCACAGCCAUAGUAUGUAGAAGAGAUGCACAAACCAGAUUACAGAUAAUGCAUCAUGCAUCUCAUACAGAGAAAAUCACAGUAAAGUAAACAGAACGCAAAAAGAAUACAAUGAGGAGCCUCAGGGUUUAGCAAUCUUCAAAACAUCGGAGAACAUCACAGCCGCAGUGUAUAUAUCAGAUAACAAGUAAUACGCCAAUCAUCGCAUAAGGCAAAGUCCAGUAGAAGCAAAACUAUAUGCAAAUAUGCACCAUUUUGUUUUACCUCCUGCUGAACACAUAACAUAUCUUGAUUUUAACAGCAAGUAUGCAUUUACCUUCUGCUCGUACUGAGGCUCUUCACUUUCUACCUGGACAGGCACUGUGACUGGGACCUGAAAAGGCACAUAAUUCCCAGAAGCAGCAGCAGCAGCCAUAUCGACCGGAGCUUUCAUCUCCGGCGUCGUCGUGAAGUAAUCGGAUGCCAUUAUCUUAUUCAACCGCUCCCUCAAUGACGCAUCUGCGAUUCAAACUUCACUGCUAAGAUACCCAAAAACCAAAAAAAAAAACGCAACAAAAUCAUGAUCAAAGACGCAAUCGGGCAAAAAAGAUGUACAAGUAACAGAAGAGUCGGGCUCGAUCGGCUCGUCGGAAUUGGCGAUCCAUUGUGUGGCGUGGUGAAGACACUUCUGCAGAGCGUUCUUGUGCGACAAGCUGGAGUCGGCAGGCCUCGAGAUCAAGAGGCUGCUCAACGUCGCAAUCAAGUCCAGGUCCCGCUCCUUCAACAGAUCGGUGGCCUCGUCCGUCACGUAGUCGUAAGUCAAGCAGCAACCGCGCUCGUGCGUCCUCGUCAGCAUCGUGGAAGUGUAAUCGCUCUGAGAGCUGACCGCGAACAUCGAGCCAAAGUAGAGCAGCUUCAGCACAUCCUUCACGACGGCAUCGCCGCCGUCCCCCGCCUCCUGCUCCUCCUGCUGCUGCGGCUGCUUCUCGGCGGCGUCGGCGGCGGCGGCGGCGUCAUCGUCGCGGGGGAGGCGCCGGGCGGCGAGGGAGAGCUCCUCCUGGACGGCGAAGGAGAGCUGGGGGCGGAGCUUCUCGAGCUCGUCGAUGGAGGCGAGGACGGAGGGCUUGGAGCGGAGGACGUCCUCCUGCUCCUUGUUGAUGGGCUUUCCCUGGGCCAUGGACUCCUCCAUCUGAUGGAUGCGGUUGAGCUUCUUGCGGAGGGCGCGGAGGCGCUUGUUGAUGAGGCUGACGACGGGGCCGUCGGUCGCUUCGGAGGGAGGGACGGGCGACGCCAUCGCGCGGUGGUCCGGCGAGAGGGGGAGGAGGUUAGGGUUUUAGGGCGGCGGCGGCGGCGGCGGCGGCGGUGGGCGGCCACCGAGAGCGGCGGACGAUUCGGGUGUAUGGAGGGGGAGGAGGAGGAGGAGGAGGAGAAGUGCGAGACAGUGGUUGAGGAGGGGUUUUUAUGUAUUUCCGGCUCCUGCCACUCCGGUCUUCGAGAUUUAUCUCUUUAUAAUUCAUUUACUUUUUAGACUUUCAUUUUAUCUAGUCGCAAACUAGGUAAUUCCAAUAUAUAUAAAUGGAGAUGAAUUUAGAAAAAUCUAAACUCUUCGCUUUAUGGCAGAACAAAUUAUUAUAACGGAAAAUUGUCAUUAUGUAGUGAGAAACAAAUAAAGUUUCCUGAUCAUGUUAAUUAUAUGUUAUUCAUUUUUUUUAAAGUGUAGUAAAAGAAGAUUCUCGGACAAAGUGUUUUAAAAAUAUAAUAAAAGGCAAUGAUACGUAAAACCAGAACAAUUGCAAGCAAGUAUAGUUAAUAUUACGCUCUAAUAAUUAUUCCAACCUAAUUGCAUGUUAUAUUGUCGUGGAUUAUAAAUAAUUGUUUGCUAUGUAAUAUGGUUAUAACAUAUAGUAUUUACAAUAUAAUUAAUCAAACUAUUAAACGGGUUUAUAAUUGAUAUGAUUAAUUAUCAUGUACGGUAAUAAAAUGCAUUAUGGGAAUUUCGGUGUUGUCUUCUUAUUCAAUUGCAAGACAGCUUGAAAACUGAAAAAUCAAAAGAUACCGCUUCCAUAUUUAUUAAUAACGUGAAAGCCUAUGUUAGCGAAAAUAAAAUAAAAUCACUAUCCUUUUAUUUUAAAGAGACGGAAAUGAUUUUAUAAUAUAACAAAAGGCAGAGGGCAGUUUUGAAUUGCCGGUAAGACUGCAUGGAUUAUGAGAACUAUAAAAGAACAAAGCAGGAUGCAUUUUCCAAAAUGAAAGAAGGAUCGAGGAAUUCCACAAGAACAAAGUCAAAUAUGAACAAUCUCCAAGAUUGCUUUGCGCUGCCGGGACUCGACCGGGUUUGUGUCGCGAUUUGAGUCUAAUUAUGAACCUUAUUCGAUACAAAGUACAUCCACAACAGCCUGCAUGAAUCGGGUUUUACAGACUUUCGAGGGAGUUCUGUCCAUCAGGGUCAGUCUCAAAUGAGAGAGACUUCUGGCUUGCUCAUCCAUCACUUUCUUCCUUCAGUUCUUGGUCACAUCCACCAUCCGGACCUGAUAUUCUUUGCUUAUUAUGCAAGUGCUCUGCUCCUGCACAACUUAAUCUUGGGUGGUGUCUGGUAGCUAAACGACUUGGAUUUAUGAAUUCAGGGCACAGAAAGGCAUAUGCAGCUAAAUGACUUGGAUUCUCCGAAAGUGACAGUAAAACCAUAAACAUCUGCUGACCAAAAAGACGAAUAGUUCGCCGGAACAAUCCCAUUUUUCUUUUCAUAAUCAAUGUGAGCUUAUGUUCAGACUAGACCCUCUGCCAUAACGAAGUUCGACAUCAACCUCCCAUGCGAACUAGAACUGAGCCAAAAUCAUUUUCCAACGACAUAAGCUGGUUGGGUGCAGAGUCACACCACCUUGUUACAUGCUGCAGAUACACGAUCAAUCGCAAUAUCUCAAGCCAUAUAUAAUUAGAGAUAACACUGUACAUCAAAAGAUUAAAGAGGAAAUUUUUUAUCUGCUAUGACGAACUUUAACUUCCGUAUAAUUUAAGCUGCAUAAAGUUAAUAAACUGAAGACUUUGGAGCCCUGUACGAGCAUGAGAAGCAUUUAUGCACAAUACAUAGUGAUACAUGAUUUCAUUAUAAUCCAAAUCUGGCCUGUGCCAAGUGAACUGCUCCACUUAAGUUAAACAUUUCAUGAAGCAUAAGAUAGGUCUAGUUUAUAUGAAGUCUUCCUUACAUGCAACUUGGCAGCAUCAGAAUCAAUUCCAAGUAAAGAGUUCAGUAAAUCUACCAAAUACGUAGGUAAAUGGACUAUGUCCUGUUCAACUUUUAAGAGCUUCGAUAGUAACAGCACUGUUUCCCCCUAUAAACCGCAGCAUCAACGGGGAGAUUGUCGGUGCUGGCAAAAUAGCGAGGAUCAAAAUCAAACCUGUGAUUAAAUGAGUAUGAACCUGCCACCAUCCCUAUGUCAGUCUUGUCAUUCCCACUUAACUUCCACAGUGUUAUCUACCACUAAAUUAAUGAAUUGAUCCAACCACGGAAUGUUCCAACAACCAUCUUGUUUGCAUUAAGGCUGACUGUAGAGAAAAGAACAGUUACUUCUACUUUCUUAUUGAUAUCUAAAUGAAUCAAAUCAAGCCAUGAAAAGGGAUCCAUAGUCUCCCAUCAAUAAAUUUUCUUAAGUAAGCGACCAUAUGUACCAAACGUUCCGACCAAAAAAGAAUCCAAACACGUGGUUGUUGAACGGGUGAUCACAACGUAACAGUUCAAACUGAUCUCCAAAUGCACACCAGACUCUCAGCCAAUUUUCAUCUAUCCACAGAGAUAGUUCAACAUUCCAACACAUGCUGUAGAUGAAACACAUGCACGUACCAACAAACCUCAGACACACGGUAAAAAGUCAGGCAAUCAAGGCAAAUUACUCUUUGGAGUUCGCAUCUGAAGAACAAAACUAUACAGAUCAAAACCACAACUUCUUUUCACAAGCAAGAUCAACAUUAACGAAACAAGAUGCAGUAAAUGCCAAGCAGAUCGAUAAGCAUCAAGAACAUCAAGCUAAUAUGCAUUAUACAAAGUGGUGCAAACAGCUCAUUCGCCCCAGUAGAAUCUCAUAAGCAAAUCCGACAGGCUACAUGUAAUUCAUACCAUGCAACAUUGGAGUUCGAUAAUUCUUUAUCAGUGAACUAUUACGAGAUGCAAGGCAACUGAAUUGAUAUGCCACAUUGGAUAAUUCCAUUCAUAACAUCAAACAUCGCGUCAUUAGCCACAGAAGAAUUAAAGGCAACAAGCAAGGUACUCUGUCCCAAUCACAUAGAACAUAUGACUUCCAAAUUCCCCGAUGUUCACGCUGAGGUCUAGUUCUGAAAUUGGCUAUACAGCUAAAUUGAGAUCAUUACACACAAUGAAACCACUUCUGACGGACAACAACGAUUACUAGGACUUAAAACGCCACAGAAAUUGCAAAAAGGAAAAAAGUAGCUCACGAGUUGACCUGCUAAUUUUCCUAGCCAUUUCAUUGGCAAUAAGCCUAAUAAAGGCGAAUUAAUAGCUUGGAACGAAGGUUCCAAUAGUUUUUGGACAACUGCAAAAUAUUUAUUUAAUACUUAAAUUUACUUUUUGGUGCAAUCGAGCAUCUAAACAAUACAUUUCUUUUCAUGAAUUGGUCUGUUAUCAGAACCCUGGACCAUGUCCUUGAUUAGUAAAACCAAUCAUAGUAAGUUGUCAUACUUAGUGAAUCUUAGGUAACUGAAUCAGGCUAUUUAUCAAAACUGCAGAAGAAUACUGUCAUUUUAGAGCAUGGCUACUCGAAAUUCCAAUAUCUUAACAGACAACUCAACUGUCUGGUGAAAAUUGUACAGCGGAGGUGAUUAUUGGCCCAAAUGAAGCUCUAUUCAUGGACAAAAUAACAAAUGGCUUGGACAGUUCAAUGGUAUCUGAGACUGUUUCUUCUCUUCAGCAACUAGCACAUUUAACAUGUGCCACUCUACUGGUUUCGCUUCUUCAGCCUGUGCCAGAAAGAUUUGAUCUUUUUGAUGACCUUAUUCUGAUGGCUGAAGGGAAAACUGUGUACCAAGGCCCUCAUGACCGAGCUCUGAAGUUUUUUGAGAAUUGUGAAUCCAGGUGUCCUGAAACACUGAACAGAUUGUGCACUGCAAGUUUGCUUCCUUUAUUGACCAUUUGUUACAUUGCCUAUUGACAUGCAGGUGCGGGUCAUAUCAAGAAAAGACCGAGCACAUUAUUAGCAGCAUCCAGGGCUACCGUCAACAUGUUAUGUAAAAAGUUUGAGGAAUCUUAUUGUGGGACAAAGCUAGAUCUGGACCUUUCAGACACAUUAGAUAGGUCCAAAAGCUACAAAAAUGCUCUUUCCUUUAAUGUGUACUCUCUGUCUAGAUGGGAACUCCUUAAAGCAUGCUGGAGAGAGAACUUCUUCUCAUGAAAACAAAUUUUUUGAUCUAUGUUUUCGAAUCAGUACAGAUCAAAAUAAGCUCUCAUCCAUCUCUAGCAGCUUUUUUGAUGUAUAUCUCUUUCCACGUCCAUGCCUAUGAUAGGGUAAUAUCUAAUCUCCCUAAUUCCAAAAAUAUAAAGGAUUUUUAGAAGUUGAUAGUUGUCUUUUCAUCAUACAGUUUAUUUCAUUGCAUUUAUCAUGAUGACCAUAUUCUUGCGAACUCAAAUAGGAAUAGAUGCUUUCCAUGCCAACUACUACGCGCUUUCUCUGUUUUGCAUGCUAGUCAUACUCCACAUUGAUGGAUUCCAGAAUUGGAAAUGACUGUUUCGAGGCUCGUAGCCUUCUAUAAACAAAAGGCGCUGUACUUUUACCCUGCUUGGGCUUAUGCAAUUCCAGCAUGUAUACCGAAACUUCCCCUUUCACUGCUGAAGUCUGUGGUUUGGACAUCACUUACAUAUCAUGCGAUUAAAUACCGUCCUAGCGUUGGCAGGUAAGUUUUAGCACAAGAGUUCUUCAUUCCUUGCCUCCUAAACUUCUGUUACAUUGCAACAUCAUUUGUAAAUUUUACUGCCAUUUUACUCAAAAGUCAUGGCUUUCAUUGUUUUCUGCUUAUUUAUGCAGGUUCCUCUGCUGAUUACUACUUUACUCUAUGCACUUUCCUCAAAUUCAUGUUCCAUUUUCUGGCCUCAAUUUUUCAAACUGUGGCUGCUUCCGUCACAGCUGGUACUGUUGCAUUACUAAUCUUGUUGAUGGUUUUGUUGUUCCAAAACGUAAGUAUGUUAAAAUCUUGCUUCGGAUUGAUCUUGGAUGAAUAAGUGUGGCUUAAUAUUUUGCUUUGUUGCUGCAGCCUCUAUGCCUGCUUGGUUGAAGUGUGGUUUCUGGGUCUCUCCACCAACAUACAGAGAAAUCGGACUUUCUGCCAAUGAAUUUCAUGCCCCACGAUGGCAAAGGGGAGGGCCUUGCAGAGUACGUCCAAAUACAAGAAGCCACUUUAGUUGCAGAAGUACUCAACCCAUUUUAUUCUAGAAAAGUAUAUCGAUAUGCUGGUGCUGUUGGUUAGCUAAACUAACUUGGGUACUAAGUCAUUAGGAUACUUUGAUUGCAUUUAUAACUUGUGGAAAGUAGAAAGUUUCAAUUAAAUUCGAGUAAAUUUUAAGUACUCUUAUACAAGACUAUGUAGUCUCUUGGUACUAAAUCAUGCACAUGCGUUUUGGCUAAUGCUUGCUGUGACCAACUGUUGCCUCGGGAUAUUAUACAGAUUUAAUGUGGUGGAUCAGGGAAAUGACCAUUUGUGGUUGGUUUGAUCACACAAAAUGAGUCUAGAAGAUAAUUCACUCGGCUUGUACUGAUGGAGGCAACCAAAGUUCGAGUUUUGCAUACAAACUACACGUAAGGCUCGAUAUGGUGGAUGAAAAAGGUAAGUUACAGCAUGAAAAUGAGCUGAAAGAUACUGCAGGUCAAGUAAUCCGAUCAAGGAACACAAGUAAAUGGUCCUAUCCACUUGCACACGUUCUUGGAUGCAUUUGCGCUCCCCCUGCUCGAGAACUCUGGUCAGAAACAGCACCAAGUUCACUCCUGCCCUGAAGAAUGCUAGUGUUGUUGGCCUGGAUUUGCUGCAGCACAUUGAGGUGAACAACUGACACCAUGACACAAGAAUCUUUCAGUACCAAUCAUCACAUUGAACAGUAACAUUGCUUCUCAUAAGUGAAAACAUAACGGUCAGUCACCUAGGAAGAGGCUCGUCCACUUCCAUCCGCCGUGCUCUCCUUCUCGAUAACAAUGCCCUCAUCCUUGAAUGGACCUGUGUUUUCCUUGCUGCCAUAAUUUUCCUCCAUGGGAAAAAUCUUCUCCUCAUUCAUUGGCAUUGUCUUCUCUAGCCUGCAGCUAGAUUUGCAAAAGGAAAAUAAGGAAAUAAGGAAGGAGCCUAGAGCGAAUUCGAGAACUAAGAGUGCAUACGCCGGUGCAUUCGUGCGCGUGCACCUAGUCUAAUAUUUACAUGCUGCAAGGUGACUGAGUAAAUCACAAGAAAUAAUAGCCAGAAGGACAUGCUCAACACAAGCGUGUGCAUGGACAUACACCGUACUUUUCGUGUGAUCGGGAAUUCAUGCUAUAGUUGAGUUAGAUAGAAUUGUAUAAACCUUUUGCCAAGCCUCGACGUUGAAAUUGCACGGCCUUUUGGUAGAGGUCGGAGGUUCUUCUCUCUGAAAAGAGCUUUUAGCUAGUCACAGAUGAGUGAGACAUAUCCGAUGAACUAAAUAGCCAAAGAAAAGACAUCAAAGGAAAGUUUUCUUACCUAACGCUGAACACUAGCAACAUAAAAAGAAAAGGAACUGAACAAACACGGCACCCUCAGCAAGUCAUACAAAGAUUCUUGUGUCAUGGUGUCUGUUGUUCAUCUCAAUCUGUUGCAGCGAAUCCAGGCUAGCCACACUAGCAUUCUUCAGGGUGGGAGUGAACUUGGUGCUGUUUCUGACCAGAGUUCUUGAGCAGCGGCAAACAACAUGAGCAAGUUAGACCAGGACCGUUUACCUGUGUGCCUUGAUCAGGGCAUUCCUCAGCGACUCGUACUGGGGACGUUACUUGACCCACACCAUCUCAUUUUCAUGCUGGUAAUUAGUAACCGACCUUUUUCAUCUACCAUGCUGAGCCUUACAUUGAGUCUGUAAAAGUUGAAUCAAACCGACCACAUUAAGAAACCAUUGCCAACAGAUGUUUUUGCACCGCGAAUGGUCAUUUCCACGAUCCACCUCAUUAAGUCAGUAUAAUAUCACCGUGGCAACAUUAGGGCACAGCAAGUAUUAACCAAAACAUGUGCGUGAUUUAGCACUAACAAUGCCCUCAUGCUUGAAUGGACCUCUUGUUGCCGUCUUCUCUAGCCUGCAGCUAGGUUUGCAAAAGAUAAAUAAGGAACGAGUCUAGAACAAUUUCGAGAAUCGAGAGUGCUUCUGCACAUACAUUCGCGCAUACACACCUCAGUCUAAAGGAUAUGCUCAACACGAGCAUGCACAUGGACACACGCUGCACUUCUCGUGCCAUCGUAAAUUCAUGGUCCAGUCCACAGUUAGAACUGCACGAACCUUUCGCCGAGCCUCGAUGUUGAGAUCGCGCGGCCUUAUGGUAGAGGUCGGAGGUUGUUCUCUCUUCAGAGAAGUUUUUAGCUAGUCUGAGAUAAGCGGAGACAUAUUCGAUAAACUAAAUAGCCAAAGGCAAAGACAGCAAAGGAAAGAUUUCUCACCUAACGCUCAAAGGACGAUGGCAACAAAAGGAAAAAGAUCCGAACAAAACCACGUGGCUGGUAACCUCAGCAAGUCACGGACGAAACUCCAUUGGAGUAUGCACUCCGUGCGGAUGCCUUCAUGCACGGCUCUUGUGUGGUGUCUUCUUGCACGACUAUGGCGUUGCGUACUUUGCUUUACGCAGGUGAUGAUGAUGAACUUCAAAAUCAAGGACACGCGGUUGGUGCCAAACGAAGAAAGGACCUACAGUCCAAAUGAAACGCGAAUAUGGAAGGAGAGAGCUGGCAAUGCAGAAAGUUUGAGGUGAGUUUAACCUGAAAAGGGACGUCAAAAUUACCUGUUCACUUAUUUAUGAACCUAGUAAAGAUUUACCGGGGCAUACUAUACCACUGGUUUUGAAUUUUUUUGUGACACUAAAAUUAGUUUAGGGUAAAUAUGAUACGAGUUUAUCAUAUUGAUAUUUUUUGUGUGAGACUAUAAUUAGGUUGGGUUAAAUCAUUAAAUGCGGCACGAGUAUAACAAUUUGCGAUUUUUUGCGACUUGAGUGUACUAUUUUGGGAUUUUUUUGUGUCAUUUAACCCUAUUAUGUAUGGCAAUAAUAAAUUUUUUAAUUAUGUUAGUUAUUAGUUUUAUAGUUUAAAAAUGUGUGGUCAUAUAAGAUUCUCAAAUAAAGCGUUUUUGGAAAAAAAAAAAAAAAAAAGAAAAGUUAACUACAGGUAAAAUUAGAACAAUUUUAAUUAUAAACUAUUAAACUUUAAUAAUUAUUUUUCAAUAAUUGCAUAUUAUUAAUGUAUGAUUCAUCAGUAUAUAAUGUGGUUACAACAUCCAUUAUCAUUAAUAUAAUUAAUCUAAAUGUUAAUUACUUGGAAAAUUCCAAGUAAAAGUCUAAAGUGCCCUCAUUUCUUCAAAUAAGGGCAUAAAGUGAAUAUUAUUUUUUUAAAAUGACAUGAAAUUGUCAUAUUAAUUUUAAAGAAUGGCCUGAAGUGACUAGUUUAAUUUUACGUUUAGAUGAAAAUAUCCCUAAUCAACCAAAAAAUUUUGCCAACCAACGAGACUAUAUACUUAUUUGAAACAGUCAUAACCACUUCAGUACCUUUUUUGAUAUUAAUAUAACCAUUUUAAGCCAUUAUUUAGAAUAAAGUCCACUCCAGGCUCUCAUUUAAGAAAAUAAGGUAUUUCAAACCCUUAUUUGGAAUUUUCCCACUAUAAGACGUAAUAAAAUAUGCUUAUGACAUAAGUAAUGCAGAAAAUUAUUUGAUUAGCAAUAUUGCAUGAUAUCAUUUUUAAAACGUUAUUAGAAUUUUACACUACUGACAAUAGUAUGAAUACUACCUACGAUUACCACCCUAAAGACAAUUGCCUCUUUUCAAAAUACAGAUUGUCUAGUUUAUAUGAUUAUACAUAAUAUUCAAUUAAAGAAAUAAUUAAUGCUCAUUUUCCCCAUAAAUUUUAUAUAUCAUGUUUAAUUAUUGUUGGAAAUCUUUGCACUGAGACUCGACCGUAUUCGUGUAGCAUACACAUCUAAUUCUAUAGACUCAACCGGGUUCAUGUAGCACAUGCAUUUGAUUCUAAUUCCAACCAUAUUCCAUAUGAAAUACAUCCACGACAGAUUGUGCAAAACCGAGUCGUAGAGAAAGCAAGAUUAAACAAGGCACGGGUCACUGAAUAGCUUGCUGCAUCAAGGGAAUUAUGUUUUUAUGAGAGGUCACUCAAUAGUUUGCUACAUUGAUAUCAAUUCAAACAUAAACAUUUUAAUUUGACCAAUUUGAUCCUAAACUUGUUUACAUUAAUACCAAUUCAAUUAUAAACCUAUCGGAUUCAGUUUUAGACGUUUUCAUAUUGAUACUAAUUCACUUCAUCUAGUCUUAGUUGAUUGACACUACCGUGAUAAUUUUUUAAUAAUUUUUUUAUUUCUUCAAAUUCUUUUUAUUAUUUUUCUUUUUUCUUUUCUUUUUCCCUCCUCUUUCUCUUAGGAUCCCAGCAAUGGCCGGUGAGGACGAGGCUCCGGUGAGGCUCUUCAAUCACUAGGCAAGGUUUGCAAAGCCCUUGCUAGCCACAAUGAGGAUCCAAGGAGGAAGAAGAGCAAAAAGAAAAGAAAAAAGAAAGAAAAAUUGAUAAUAAAAAUUCAAAAUUUAAAAAAAAAUUCAAAAAUUCAAAAGAUUGUCCCAUCAGGUCGAACAACCGACAUCCAUGUCAAUGUCGAUUAACCAAAAAUUGACUGAAUAGACUGACUUGAUACCAAUGUGAAAAAGUUUAAAAUCAAAUUAGUCCAAUUAAAAGAUGUAAAACUAUUGAUACAAACACAAUAGAUUGAGAACUUUUUUGAUAUUUUUCCCAAGGUCACAAAAAAGAGAGACUUCAUCUAGCUCUUCAUAUUUCUUUAUGUAACUGUUCAUUCCCGCAGUGAAAAUAAGCAUCAAGAUCUUGUGUAUUACAGACGCAUUACCUCAGAACACAAAAAGGCAUAUGCAGCGAAACAACUCAGAUUCUCCCUGAAAGUACAGUAAUAACCUAUAACAUCUACUGAUCAAAAAGACAUAGUUCACUGGAAUAAUUUCACUUCUUUAACCUAAUGAAUCUAACGGUUAAAUUCUAACCUCAUAUCCAGGCUAAACCUUCUCCAUUAUGAAGCUCAUAUCACCAAUCGACCACUCCUACAUACUAGAACUGAACCAAUAUCAUUAUCGAACGACAUGAGCUGGUUGGGUACAGACUGAUUUCACAUGCCACAGACAUGUGAAUCACUUGCCGUAUCUCAAGCCAUAUAUUUAGAUAUAAAUACUGUAAAAUGAAAGAUAAAAGAGGCAACUUAUAAGUCAGCCUGAUGAAUUUGAACUUCUCUCAAAUUCACUCUAAUUCAAGCAGCAUAAUGUUGAUAAACUUAAGACUUCCCAACACUGUACGAGCCAGUGAAUAAUUUGGUCACAAUGUAUGGAGAUACAUAAUUUCAUUGAAAUUCAAAUCUGGCCUGCGCCAAGUGCACUACUCCACUUGAAGGUCAAUAUUUCAUGAAGCAUAAGAUAGGUCGAGUUUAUACAACAUCCUCCUUACACGCAGCUUGGUAGCAUCAGAAUCAACUGCAAGUAAAGAGUUCUUUAAAUCUACCAAAUACAUAGCUAAAUGGAUUAUGUCCUGUUCACAGGUUCAAGAGCUUCCACAGUUACAACACUGUUUCCUCUUAUAACCUGCAGCAUCAAUGGUGAGAUUAUCAGUGUUAGCAAAAAUGCAAGUCUCCAAAUUAAAAUUGAAAUUCAAUUAGUAUGAACCUACCACCAUCCCUAUGUCAUUCUUCUCAUUCCCAUUCACUUCGACAGUAUUAUCUACCACUAGAUUCAUGAACUGAUCGAACCCACGGAGUGUUCCAACAACCAUCCUAUUUGCGUUAAGCUUAACUGCAGAGAAGAGAACAGUCAGGUCUACUAUCUUAUUGAUAUCUGGAUGAAUCAAAUCAAGCCAUGAAAAGGAUCUUUUAUCUCCAUCAAUGAAUUUUCAUAUAUGCAAACCGCCAAUAGUACCAAAUGUUUCAAUAAAAAAGAAAAUACACAAACGCAAGUGAUCUAUGAACAGGUAAUCACCACGAACUGUUCAGACUAAUCUCAAAAUGCACACCAGACUCUAAGCACAAUUUUCAUCUUCCAACGACAAUAGUCUGACAUUCCAACCCAUGCUGCAGAUGAAACACAUGCACAAACCAAUGAACCCCACAAACCAAAAUACUCAUAUGAAGAAGAUAGAACAUAAUUAGGUAAUCAAAGCACAUAACUCUUGGAGUUCACAUCUGAAGAACAAAACAAUACAGAUCAAGGCCACAGCUUCUUAUCAUAACCAAGACCCAACAUUGACAAGUCAAGACGCAGUACAUGCCAAGCAGCUCCAUCGGUGUUGAGGAUAUCAAGGUACUGUGCACUAUACAAAGGGGUGUGAACAGCUCCUUUGCCCUAACCGAAUCUCAUAAGCAAAUCCAACAGGCUACACAUUACCUAGACUGUAAUUUGAAAGAACCCAUAUCACGCAACAUUUGAAUUCACCUGUCCCUUAAUCGGCAAACCAUCAUGAAAUGCAAGGCAAGUGAAUCCAGACAACACCACAUUGGAUAAUUUCACCCAUAGCACGAAACAACAUGGCGUCGUUUGCCGCGAAAGGAAUUAGAGGCAAAAAGCAAGUAACACCGUCAAAAUCACAUAGGACAUAUAUGACUACGAAAUCCCACGAUGUUCACCCUGAUCUCUAGUUCUAGAACCGGCUACACAGCUAAAAAAUUGAGCUCGCCGCACGCGACGUAGAUCCACGAAACCACCUCGGACAGACAACGACGAACACUAGAACUCCAAAGAAAAAAAAAAGCCACAGAAAUUGAAAAAAGAAAAAAUUGCAACGACUUACUUUGGAGCUUCUUGUCCAUGUACCUGAGCAAAGAUAGCAAAAGGAAAGCUAUGUCAGAGAGGAAACAAGGGAAAGACGUAAAGCAAAACAGAGGAACAAGAGAGAGAGAGAGAGAGAGAGAGAGAGAGAGAGAGCUUCUUACUUCUUGAGAUCCGGAGGCUGGCCCGAUCUGCUCAUGGUGACGACUUUCGCAGGGAUGCGCGGGACAAGCAGAGGGGAGCUUUUGGAGUGGUGAAGUUACAGUGCACGAUGCGCUCCCAAAACCCUAGAGCGUCGAAGGAUGACGAAGAUGAUUGACUUUUUUAUGUUGUGGUGUCUGCGAAGCGAUGUCGUUUCUGGGAUCAGCGGCCCAUGAAGAGUGAAGCCCAGCGUUGAGUUUGGCCCAAUACUCGUGAACUAUUCCUCCUCAGAUGAACGGCCCAUGACAAGGGAUCUUUUUUCAAAAAAAUAUUUUUAAAACAUUUAUUUUCCACAAAAUAAGGGAACUUGAUCACCCAAAAAAAAAAAAAAUAUCCAAAAUCUUAUGGCUACGGCAAGUCAAUUCAACAUUGGGUUAAUUAUCAAGCAAUUUUGGUGAGAAAUCUUUUGCUCUGACUUAUAAAAAUUACAAAAAUAACUUUUUCUUUUCCUUGAAAAAUCUUUUUAUGCAUACUUCAAAAAAAAAAAAAUAUUGAAAUAGGUAUGUGUUAAUCCAUGCGUUUACACUUAUACUCGUGAAGCUUCAAUUGCUAAAGAUUCUUUUUAAAAAGAAGUCAAAGUUCAUGCACCGUAAAAUUUAUAAAGUAAAAGUCGCUCCAGACACAAUUAAACAAAAAGUUAGUUGCAUCUUAAAUGAUUUUCACUCAAGUAAGUUUCCAAAUCCCCAUCUCUAUUUUUCAUCACAAUUAAAAAAAAAAAUCAAACUUCACUAGUAUCGUGACCCAAUGAAGUACAAAAACUGAAACGAAAUUUUCCUACUUUUAUCAUUUGGUUGUUGUGCUAUAUUGAUCAGGGUUGCACUCUAUGCUUGAUAAGUCCGGCAUGGUCCAAUAUCACAGCACACUCGUGUCACAUGACAACCACAGUUCAUUUGGAGCUCAGUGAGUAGAAGUUAUAUUGUGAUCUUGUUGAGUAUCAACUAGUUUGAAUCUCCUACUCACUUGAUUUAGUUGAGAUGGUGCAUCGAAUAUUUACGGGCGCGUCGUAAAAGUGCCAUUGGAAGUUCCUAAAGUAUAACAGUAUGUUACAUUGCAUUUUCUACGUUUAAUUAUGACAAUUGCCAUAAUGAUGUUAUGAUGUUUAUUUAUAUGUUUUUUUAUAUUUAGGAGUGUCGUAUUUUUGUAGGGUAAAAUUAUAUAUAGAUAUGCCAACACAAAUGAUGAGUCUGGCACAAGUUUGCUAAAGGAAAUUGACCCUAUGACAAAUCCAACGCAUUUAUGAAGGCCUUUCUCUCGGACCAAUCCAAACAAAGAAAAUAUUAGGUACCUUAGUGAUUGACAUCUUCCACUGAGCACUCAACAUGUGUCAUCCACGAUCCUUGUAGAAAUUUUCAGAUUCUCUCUCUCAUGACCAUAGUGGUCGAAACUCGUAAGCGAAGAGGUCCGUCGUUGCCGCAAGAGUAGGUGCUGUCGAAGGCCUCAAAAUUCAAAAUCAAGGAGGUGAAGUUUUCAAGACUCUCGAUUGAAUUAUCCGCUACUUCCCACGAGCUGGAUGAGACCUAGAGGCGAUCAUCAAGGGUGUUGUGGACGAGAUCGAGAGAAGGGGUGGAACCAUGACUAGAGUUGGAGGUUCUUCUUCAAUCUCUGCGACGGGGAAGAGAGAAAGGUAGGUUGUUACAAAGCAGAGGGAAUGUGGGUUUUGGUGAUUUUUGUGCUUGAAGAUGGAGCAAGAGACUUGAGAGAUGUAGGGGUGAUCGGUUCCCGGUUCCCAAAAUUACGAACCGUGGACCGGACCGUUUGUCCUAAGACCGAGAAUCGGACCGGACCAUUACGAACCGUGGACCGGACCGUUUGUCCUAAGACCGAGAAUCGGACCAGACCAUCGGUUCCGGUCCGGUCUACUUUUUUGCACUAAAGAACUAAAGAGUGACCGCGUUCUUGACCGAUCAAUUCAAUUCGAUUCUCGGGCAAUUCAACAAAACUAAUCACACGUGUUCCACGUGCAAAAUAUUCAAACUUCACUUGUGUGAUUCACGGGAUCUCUUGAAGUCUUAGUCCCACGUCGAAACUAUCAAGGAGAUUUUUUCUAUAAAUAAAAGAGUAACAAAAAGAAUUUUAAUGGUCUCUUGGCCACAUAAGAGGUUGCUACCUCAAAUUGCAAUUUUGGUUGCAAUAAGUUAUCAUGUUUAUAUGUUUUAUUAAUUCUAUGUAUAUAAAUUAUAUAUAAAAAAAUUUGGUUCGGUCCGGUCGGUCCGGUUCGGUCCGGUUCCCACCUUGAAACCGGGAACUGGACCGACCGGCCACCGGUUCCAAGAUUAGGAACCGGGGACCGGACCGCCGACCAUGGGAACCGCCCAAAACCGACCGGUUCGGUCCGGUCCGGCCGGUUCCCGGUUUGGGCGUUUCCCGUUGCACACCCCUAGAGAGAUGAGGGGGGGGGGGGGAAAGUCAGCGAGAGAGAAGGGAGAAAAUUUGAAAAUUUCUGAAAUGGGAGACUACAGAUUACACUUGUCAAGUGUUUAGUGGACUUAUUCAAAUCCGAUGUGUUUAUCACUGAGAUACCUAAUAUUUUCUCAUCCAGACCAGCAUCAACACUCUAGCAUUUCGAAGGCAUGUCCAGCAUUUCGAAGGCAUGAGUUAACUGACCAAAAAGAUGGGCCAAUCUUGCCGUCAUUAUUUUUUCAUAUUCCUCUCUUACCCUUGAAUGUUGCACCAUAGCUAUUGGCUAUUCUCAUUGCUCUUAAGGAGUGAACCAUUCUAGAUUUCAUACAAAUUCCGUCCAAAACUUAGAACUUACAUGUUAAAACAAGUUUCUCAUUUUUUAAAACUUUUUUUUUUGUCAAUCCUACUCUAACACUUACUCUCAGAUUUUUGCCUUGCCUCUUUGCAUGGCGUGAGAGUCAAAACCCACUCCUGAAUUGAAAUCGUCUUCACCCCAAUCCCCCCUGAGAAUGUGAGGAUUUAAACCCCCAACCUCCCCCUUCCAAGUCUCCCUUCCAAGUUGGAAGAGUGGUCACUGGGGCGAACCCCCAAUGAUUAGAACAUACCUUACAUACCCUAGAAUUUAAAACCUAUCAUGUCACGAUUACGGUGUCUACCCAGAUUCCACAUAUAUUAUUAAUUGAAUGAUUAUAUUAAAUUAUCAUAUUUAUUACAAUUCAUUGGCAAUAACUUAUAUUUAAACAUAUGAAAUAUAUUAAACAUUAACAAAAUAAAAGUUUCAGUCAUAAAAUGGAAGUUCAGACUAGUGAUUUUAAAUUAUACACUCAUCAUUGAACAACUUGUAAUACUCAAGCACCGUGCGAAGACAUAGACUAAGUAAAACACAAAAACUUUUUAUGAGUUUUAAGUUAGUUUCAAAUUCCACUAACCUAAAAUCUAAAACAUAUCCAUUGAAACAUGUUCCUCAAUUUUUGGAAUCUGGAACCUUUCUUGCAUACUUUCAAACCUGAGGUUCUUAGGUUGCAGAUUUUACUCGUAAAGCAUGCUCACCCCUAAGUCUCCACGGAAGGUCACCAAGAAUUUGGAGGGUCGCACAAGGUCACAAAGUUCACAUUCAAAGUCGAGGAGGCUACAUGACUUGAGCAUCGCCUUGCCUAGGCAUUGCCUCGCUUGGAGUCAUGCAACUUCAAGGAGGGUGAUAGUUGCUACUUCUUCAAUGAUGUCAGGUCGUUUGACUUCAAGUGAGCUAGAUCCAGACUAUAGAUUAAGCAAGCAAAGCUGCAGUAGAUGAAGUAGCAACUACUAACCUUGCCUAAGGUUGUGCAACAUCGAAGUUACACAGCCCUAGGUAAGGCAAUGCUGGUGUCGCAUGACUUGGACGAUGUAAUCACCAGUGUCAUUUUGGUGUCUUUUUGCUUAAGUGGCCGAGGGUUUGCAAUUUUUUUUAUUUUUUACACUUUUGUACUUUGAGUUAAGGUCCUUUCACACUGAAAAACUGUUCUCCCAGAGUAGGGCUGGCAAAUGGGUGAGUUCGAUUAGGUAUGGGUUGGGUCGAAAAUUGGUCGACCCAUAUUUGACCCAUUCAACUCAUUUUGACCAUAUUUUUGUAGUGUAAAUCUAGUGAUCCAUACCUGACCCGACCCGUAUUACUAAAACCUAUUUAUUGUUAAAAUAUUUUUAUGCAAUACAAAUUUUUUAACAAUUUUUAUGCAAUACAAACUUAAUGGAAAUUUUUAUAAUUCUUUUUAAAAUAUUUUUUAUAAAAAAUGGAAUUUUUAAAUUUUUUAAAAAUAUACUUUUUAAUUUUUUUUUAUUUUUUAGAAAUAUAAUUUUUAAUUAUCUUUAUUUUAAAAAAUAUAUAUUUUUUUAAUAUCAUUUUUAAUUUUAAUAAUUAUUUUCUCUUUUUCUCUUUUCUCUUUUUUUUCUUCUUCUUCGACCGACCGCCAGCCACGACAACGGCCGGCGAUUGGCCACAAGUGAGACUCAAGCUCGCUGGCGUCGUGCGAGGCUCGAUCUCGUCGAUCUGACGAGGCCGAGGCCCCGCCCGACACCAACAAGCUCGAGCCUCGCCAAUCAUCAGAGAGGCCGAGAAAUCCAACGAGACUUAGUCGUCGGCGACCUUCGAGGGAGCGGCGGAGGCAAGCCUCAGAGGGGGCGGCUCAGAGGCGAGCAACAAAGAUGAAGGUCGAAGGGCUAUCCAUGCUUUUUAGGUUUUAAAAAUGGGUCAGAACGUGUGACCUAUUUUCAACUCAUAUAAAAUUGAAUUAUGGUCCAUUACAACUUCAUAACCCACGUUCGACUCAUUUGUGAAAAAUAUGGGUACAAAAUGACCCAUUUUGCCGCCUCUAUCCGGGGGCACCCAAAUUCCCCCGCGUCGGGCUCAAGAAUGUCUCGUCGCCACUUGACCACAUCAUUUUGGCCCUUCCACGCACUUCCAAGAGUGGUCUCCAUAUCCCCCGUUGACCAUCCGGACCUUCUCUCGGUAUCUCCUCCCCGUUUGGUCGCAUACGCGCACACAAUGCUCGACCUUGAUCAUCACCAGCUCCUCCCACUCGUCAGGGUUGCUCUGUCAAUCACGAGGGCCCUUAAUUCAUGAUCGAAUCUCUGGUUAUCUGGAAUUCCUUUGUGGGUUUGCUUCGCUCUCGCUGCCCGUUUGGCAAAAGGGUCCGUCGCUUCGAGAUACCCCCAACAGGUCAACACUGCUCCAUGGAGCUCGAGCGAAUCCUUGCUUGAAUCUUCGCUCCUCUCCUCGCCUUCUUGGGUCCGGUCAAUGGCCGCCUCUGUGUCGGCAUUAUCUUUCUCUGUCCACAGGACUCGCCCCGCCGGACUCUCACCUGCCCAUGUGGCCGUCGACGAGCCCCGAAAAAGGUUCCCCUUCUCCUUCGGGUCGAGGCCGAGCUUGCCCUUCGCAUCUGUGGGUCCCCGCCGCCAUUAUUUGGGCCCUCUCAUUGCCUACCCUCGUGCUUUCCCGUCGCCGGCGAGGGACGCCCUUCUGGGAGAUGGGUUCGCUUCCGCGGCCGAAGAGGAGGGCGAUUUGACGAUUCCCGAGGAGAGGCCGGUCAAGUUCCUGCUCUGGGUCGUGUUCUGGGCUUCCCUGUCUCUGGCUUGGUUCGCGGCUUCCAAGGACGCGAAUGCCGCCGUUGAUUCCAUCAAAGCCUCGGGCUUUGGCGUGAAGGUCGCCAGCAAACUGCGGAGCUCGGGAUGGCCGGACGAAGCCGUGGUCUUCGCGCUCGCGACGCUUCCGGUGAUUGAGCUCCGAGGGGCUAUUCCUGUCGGUUACUGGAUGCAACUCAAGCCUUCGCUCCUCACUGUCUUAUCUGUUAUCGGGUCAGUCUAAUUUCAUCCAUUUUACUUGGUGUACAUUACCUCAUUCACAUGAAUGGAAUGUCUGAUCUUGUUAUUGGUGUUUGCACUGGGCGCCGUAUUGAAUUCCAAAUGCAGCCCCUCUCACUUCAUGUAGUCUCGCGCCAACUGCUCGAUGAAAUGCCGUGGUUAAGAUGGAUUUCUAAGUAAUGAGAAUAUUUUUUUGAUAAAUGGGGCUACUUUAAUCAUUGGUAUGUCAAGUUCCUUUAUGUUUGUUCUGGAUGAUAUUUGCGCCUCAUUGUUGGCUGCUGAUGCUUAUUCUUUUUGCCUUCCAAUCAGUUUGUAACAUUUUGUAGGGGAGAGAUGCAUUUCAGCUUUGGAAAUGAAACACCAGCUACAAUCUGACAUUUUUUUUCUCUUUGGUCUUACUUGUUGUAGGAAUAUGUUGCCCGUACCAUUCAUCAUACUCUACUUGAAGAAGUUAGCUACUUUCCUUGCUAGGAGGAGCCGAUCAGCAUCCCGGUUACUUGAAAUGGUAUUUGAGAGGGCGAAAGAGAAGGCUGGCCCUGUGGAAGAGUUUCAGUGGCUUGGCCUCAUGUUGUUUGUGGCUGUGCCUUUUCCUGGAACGGGGGCUUGGACCGGAGCUAUCAUAGCUUCAGUUCUGGAUAUGCCCUUUUGGCCAGCGGUGACUGCCAAUUUUUGCGGUGUUGUCCUCGCAGGGCUUCUGGUGAAUUUGCUUGUGAACCUUGGACUCAAAUAUGCCAUCGUGACUGGUAUAAUCCUCUUUUUUAUUUCCACAUUCAUGUGGAGCAUCCUCCGAAGUCUUAGGAAAUCUUUGAGCUCAUCAAACUGAUGAACACAAACUACUCAUUUGAUGUUAACGGCAUUGAAUUCUGUACUCAGUUUUUUGAAGUGGCUGUCUCCCGUUCACUGGCUUUGGUGCAAUGUACUGUCACUUUCCUGCUUCAGAAAUACUCAUCAGGAAUGAUUAGAUGAUUUGAAACUGACUGGAGUAAAUGAAUUCAUUCUCUACUGGUUUAAAAUGGAGAUGUCUUUCAGUAAAUGCCGUUUGAUUAAACUCGAGCAGCAACCCCCGGUUUUGUUGACCUUAGUUAAUGUAACUAUAUUUAUUCAUCAGUGCCCUUUCUUUUGGAUUACAUUUAAAAGCGAUUUUGCAUAUGCCCUAACAUCAGUGCCCAAGCCAGCACACUUGGUUUCCAUGUCUAAGGUUGCAAGCGAAGCAAACCUCAGUGUCGUAAUGGGAGUUCGUUCUGUAUUGGAAAAAUUGCACCAGAAGUCCUAAGUUCUUAUCAUAGGAUGCAGUUAUAUCUAAAUGUUUUAAUGGGUGCAAUUAACUGUGAACUUUUGAAAAUUGUAAUCUAAGUCCUGCUAUGCCCGUUAGUUGAUGUAGUCAAUUCCUAAAUUUUUAUUGAAAAGUGUAGUCAAAUCCUAAAACUAUUUCAAGAAAAAUAAUUCGGGGUUGCCACAUCAGUAGUUUUUUAAUACUGCGUUGACCCUUCCCUGUAUCCUUAUUUAGAGGACUUAAAUUGCACCAAUCAAUAGUUCUGGAACUCAAUCGGAUUCCUAAAACUGUAUUCCUCAUUUUACAUUAUUCCACUUCUGGCAGACAGCAGGUACUCUUCUAGUUUACUUUUGGAUUGGCGGAAUGAGGUUCAUACCCUCAAGUUGCUUCUACUUUCUUGUAAUAAUAAUAUAGGCCAGAAGUUUGUGGUGACGAGACGACCAAUGAGCAAUAACUGCGUACUCAAUGCAGAAAAAAUUUGGUAUGAAAACAUGAAUUUUCCUUCCUGUUCUGACUUCUCAGCUGGCAACAUUAAUUCCUCCCAUUCCGAUCAUUAAUGUGCUCUGUACACCGAAACUCUCAAAUGAAAGAGGAGAUUUUCGUGAAAGGAGAGAAAACUCUACGAGCAGGCUGACUAGAGCUUUCUGGUGAGGGGAUUUACAUCUAAUACCUCUAAUAGCCAUUAUCUAUUUGCAGAACGCUACAUGAUGGAUUGUGUGGAGCCUGACAAUUGUGCCAAGUCCAUUCUUUCUCCUCUUACCAACAUCUCUGCCUAUAUAUGCUUAAAUGUAUAGCAGGGAGAGCACUUGCUAUUGCGAGUUCGUUAUGGUCGCUCCAUGUUUACUUUCCUUGUAUAGCAGGGAUGAACUAUAGGAAAAAGUGUUAAAAAAGUCCUAAAUCUUUUGUAUUUGUGUCAAUUUAAUCUUAAAUCUUUUUUUUAUACCAAUUUAGUCAUAAACAUUUUUAAAUAGUGUCGAUUAAAUCCUUUUCGGACAAUUUUGAUCGGAUUUUGCUGACUGGACGUCGACCGGCUAACAUGGUCUGAUCAAUGCUAACGUGGAUAGCUUUUAAUCAUAUUUUAAUAUUUUUGAAUUUUUUUAUGUUUAUUUUUCUUUUUUCUUUUUUCAUUUUUCUUUUUUCCUUCCCCUCCUCCAGCCAGUCGCUAGACCUCGGCAACCAACCAGAGGCGAUAGCCAGCGAGGUUGACCUCGCUAAACCUCGUUGGCCACCUUGCUAGUGGCCGCAAGGGCAACCUCGCACUGGGCGGCAAGGCUUGCCGUCACCAACCACCUUGCUAGUGGCCGCGAGGGUAGCCUCGCGCUGGGCGGCGAGGCUUGACCUUGCCAACGCCGCCCAAGCUGCAAUUUGGCAAGGUCAAGCCUUGCC